This 847-nucleotide ribosomal RNA is filed under the name unidentified. RNAcentral's name for it is "Codinaeella multisporuloca partial large subunit ribosomal RNA". It matches the Rfam family "Eukaryotic large subunit ribosomal RNA", at positions 63 to 943 of the family's 3401-position model. The record is from RNAcentral.
UUCCAACAGGGAUUGCCUCAGUAACGGCGAGUGAAGCGGCAACAGCUCAAAUUUGAAAUCUGGCCCCAGGCCCGAGUUGUAAUUUGCAGAGGAUGCUUCUGGUUAGGUGCCUUCCAAGUCCCCUGGAACGGGGCGCCGAAGAGGGUGAGAGCCCCGUCCGGUUGGCCGCCAAGCCUGUGUGAAGCUCCUUCGACGAGUCGAGUAGUUUGGGAAUGCUGCUCUAAACGGGAGGUAGACCCCUUCUAAAGCUAAAUAUUGGCCAGAGACCGAUAGCGCACAAGUAGAGUGAUCGAAAGAUGAAAAGCACUUUGAAAAGAGGGUUAAAAAGUACGUGAAAUUGUUGAAAGGGAAGCGCUUGUGACCAGACGUGUGCCGGGGUGUUCAGCGGGCGUUCUCGCCCGUGCACUCGCCCCGGUACAGGCCAGCGUCGGUUCGCGCGGGGGGACAAAGGCGUUGGGAACGUAGCUCCUCCGGGAGUGUUAUAGCCCAGCGUGCCAUGCCCCCGCGCGGACCGAGGUUCGCGCUCCGCAAGGACGCUGGCGUAAUGGUCUCCAGCGGCCCGUCUUGAAACACGGACCAAGGAGUCGAGGUUUUGCGCGAGUGUUUGGGUGUCAAACCCGCACGCGUAAUGAAAGUGAACGCAGGUGGGAGCUUCGGCGCACCACCGACCGAUCCUGAUGUUCUCGGAUGGAUUUGAGUAGGAGCGUAGGGCCUCGGACCCGAAAGAUGGUGAACUAUACGUGGAUAGGGUGAAGCCAGAGGAAACUCUGGUGGAGGCUCGCAGCGGUUCUGACGUGCAAAUCGAUCGUCAAAUCUGCGUAUGGGGGCGAAAGACUAAUCGAACCAU